Macaca fascicularis (crab-eating macaque) is the source of this 104-nucleotide small nuclear RNA. NCBI's taxonomy places the organism in Eukaryota, Metazoa, Chordata, Mammalia, Primates, Cercopithecidae. The record is from Ensembl.
GUGCUCGCUUCAGCAGCACAUAUACUAAAAUUGGAAUGAUACAGAGAUUAACAUGGCCCCUGCACAAGGAUGACAUGAAGGAAUUAAAAAUUAAAAAAAAGAAA